RNAcentral lists this ribosomal RNA (860 nucleotides) under Bacillus sp. (in: firmicutes). RNAcentral's name for it is "bacterial SSU rRNA". It matches the Rfam family "Bacterial small subunit ribosomal RNA", at positions 18 to 860 of the family's 1533-position model. Lineage: Bacteria; Bacillati; Bacillota; Bacilli; Caryophanales; Bacillaceae. The record is from RNAcentral.
UAUGGCUCAGGACGAACUCUGGCGGCGUGCCUAAUACAUGCAAGUCGAGCGAACAGAAGGGAGCUUGCUCCCGGAUGUUAGCGGCGGACGGGUGAGUAACACGUGGGUAACCUGCCUGUAAGACUGGGAUAACUCCGGGAAACCGGAGCUAAUACCGGAUAGUUCCUUGAACCGCAUGGUUCAAGGAUGAAAGACGGUUUCGGCUGUCACUUACAGAUGGACCCGCGGCGCAUUAGCUAGUUGGUGGGGUAAUGGCUCACCAAGGCGACGAUGCGUAGCCGACCUGAGAGGGUGAUCGGCCACACUGGGACUGAGACACGGCCCAGACUCCUACGGGAGGCAGCAGUAGGGAAUCUUCCGCAAUGGACGAAAGUCUGACGGAGCAACGCCGCGUGAGUGAUGAAGGUUUUCGGAUCGUAAAGCUCUGUUGUUAGGGAAGAACAAGUGCGAGAGUAACUGCUCGCACCUUGACGGUACCUAACCAGAAAGCCACGGCUAACUACGUGCCAGCAGCCGCGGUAAUACGUAGGUGGCAAGCGUUGUCCGGAAUUAUUGGGCGUAAAGGGCUCGCAGGCGGUUUCUUAAGUCUGAUGUGAAAGCCCCCGGCUCAACCGGGGAGGGUCAUUGGAAACUGGGAAACUUGAGUGCAGAAGAGGAGAGUGGAAUUCCACGUGUAGCGGUGAAAUGCGUAGAGAUGUGGAGGAACACCAGUGGCGAAGGCGACUCUCUGGUCUGUAACUGACGCUGAGGAGCGAAAGCGUGGGGAGCGAACAGGAUUAGAUACCCUGGUAGUCCACGCCGUAAACGAUGAGUGCUAAGUGUUAGGGGGUUUCCGCCCCUUAGUGCUGCAGCUAACGCAU